RNAcentral lists this long non-coding RNA (569 nucleotides) under Vulpes vulpes (red fox). RNAcentral's name for it is "lncRNA (ENSVVUG00000019558.1)". The record is from RNAcentral. Lineage: Eukaryota; Metazoa; Chordata; Mammalia; Carnivora; Canidae.
AGAAUCACUCAAUUCCCAGACUCUUUUAUGACAGUAUUUAGAAUCAGAGAGGAAAUUAAAUAAAGAGGUGCCUGUGUAGCUGGGCCUAUGACCAUUGGAGGGAAGUUUCUUACACGUAGUCUCACCAUGUAAUGAAUAGGAGAGAAAGGCAGGACCAAGCUAGAGCUCAGAAAAUGCUUGUCUUGAAGCUUCUACCUUUAAGAGUAUCUAGGUCUGGGGUAAUCAGUUUUCUGUUGUCACUAUGACUUCCAAUUAGAUAGAUAGAUAGAUAGAUAGAUAGAUAGAUAGAUAGAUAGAUAGAUUAAUUGCUUUUCCUUUAACUAGGCUACAGAAGUAUUGAUUCCUAUGGGCAUAGAGACCAUCCCAGUCCAGAUGAGAUCCCACCAUGAAAAGACCAAAGUGACAGGAAAUCUUCUGAAUCAGAAAAAGCCUGGAACUCGGAUUCUCAAAAGUAAAUUCUCCAACUGUUUAUGCUUCACCACCACUGGAUCUAGCUGAAGUCACCCCAAGGAACAGAGUGCACUGUUUACACAGGGACACAGGUAACCUAGACUUGGGUCUAAGAUGAG